Molecule: long non-coding RNA, 3974 nt
Filed under: Marmota monax (woodchuck)
Lineage: Eukaryota; Metazoa; Chordata; Mammalia; Rodentia; Sciuridae
Source: RNAcentral
CUAGCUGCCUUACAGAGCUCCAUGUGGCCUUCUAAAAUGCAGGCCAUCUCUGUGAGACUCUAGCCUGAUCGACAGUAGAACUGGCAAACAGACAGAUGGCCCCCACUGAUUCGUCCCUGCACCUGCAGUCCCUGACAGCUCCCUGAGGCUCCAAGUUUGCUCAUCUCUAACUGAGACGGCCCUUCAUACUCAAAUCACUCUUGGCUUCAGGUACUACCGAGUAAGUCAGUCCGUUUUCUAAGAGUUUGCUUCAAAGAAAGUGAGAACGAAUUUGUCACAGAGCACAGCUCCAAACGCACUCAGAAAUGACAGCCACAUCAGGCAGAGCAAGGGCAGGAGGGACUAAUUGUAUAGUUACCACAAAGACAAUCCAACACACUUAUUUCACAGGGAGAAAAUGGACCAUGCUGUUACUCCACUGGAAGUAACAAUGAUUGCUCAGGAACUGAACGCCACCUUCCGCCAGCUCCCUGGUAUCGAUGCAAAUCGUCCCGUUUUCCUGUGAUGCCGCCACUCAGAACAGAAACAUCUUUUCUGAUGGGUGCUGGGGAUAAUUCCUAAAACUCAGUGAAGUUAGCUCAGCCUGUUGGCUCUUCUACCAGGGGGCAGACUUCACAGCACCCAGACGCGGGCCACACAGCCCAGGUGGGCCCAGCCCAGCGGCUCCGGGGCUGGGCAUCUAACUCUGCUGUAGAAACCGUAAGUGUUUCCAGGUUGAAGUUUAGAGGGGACGGAGCCCCCUGGGAACGGCUGUUCCGGUAGCUGGUGCUGGAGCUGGGUCUGUGUUCCCGCACGCGGGUCGCACUGUCAACCACAAGUCUGCUGAAGACAGGUGCCACCUGGAAGCCCCUUCCCCAAGGGGAGAGCAUGGCUCAGAGAGGCCCCCACCAGGGCCGGGGGUAGGGGGCAAGAAGCUUUCCCUUGUGCUUGGGUAUUGCAAAAGAAACUUGAGGAGUUGAGAGCUCUGCCCCAGUGAGUGUCCCAAGGGGAGGCUGUCUUCUGGGUAGGUUGGGGCCCCCGACUGGAAAGCGGGAAGUGGGGAUCAGGGCACCUGUGCUUUCUCACAUGUGCUAGAUUCCUUCAUUCCUGGAUCCCCCACCGUUUUCUGCUGAAAGCCGGCCAGGGUUGUGCAAGUUUUCUUUCCCCAGCUUGGCACCAGGCAGCUGUGAGCCAAGAGGCCGCUUACUGGAUCCCUCCGUCCUGUCCCGUGCCGACCCCGCUGGGCCCGCGGGGGAAGGCAGGGUCGUCUGUUUGGGAGCAGCUCUUAGCUCACAGGCUCUCCCAGUAACAGGGUCAAGUGCCCAGUGCUGGGGGCAACGGGGCCUGGCUUCAGACACAGACCUCCCUGCGGAGGCCAUCCGUCUUGCUGAGUGGCUGACCCCACUUGGCCAGAGAGCGCGUCGGAAGCCAGGAUGGGCUCAAUCUGUGGGCUGCAGCGGGGCACAGGAGGGGCAGCGCAGUGCGCAGGCCAUCAGCAUGGGCCCUGGAGGCAGACCCUCCCUCUGCCUUGACCACGCACUCCUGCCACUGGGCGUCCUCAGUCUCCCCACCUGUCAAAUGAGGUGGAUUUGUCCCUGCUUCCAAGGGGAGUCAGCUCUGAGCAUUAGACACCCCAAGGAGAGCACCAGCACGCUCAGCCAGCACUCCCCAGAGCUACGGAGGAGCAGCACGGUUCCUCUGCUGUUGUGGGCAAACUCCUUCAGGGACUCUACUGUGGGCGGCUCUGGGGCACUAGCUGUGGGGGGAAUAGGAUAGUGAACGCAGUCUGCAUUCUCACCCCUGUGAUGGCCUCCUUGCCCCUAACGUAGCUGGUACACAGGAGGCAACCUCCUUACCCCAACCGCACCUGGCACACGGGAGGUACUUAGCAGAUGCCUUCUGCACGCCCAGCGGGGAAGCCCCUUUGCCCACAGAGUUCCCCAGCGAGCCUGCAGGUGGCUGGGCCCCAGGAGAGCUGUCUGGCAGCAGACGGCCCUGUGGGAGCCCCAGAGCCUGGCCUGGGUGCCUUCAACUUUCCCGUCUGGACUUCUCUCAUUUCCCUGAACCAGAUGCAUGUUAUCCCGUGGGGACGAACCGGCUGGUCCUUCACUGUGGUGCUGUGUCCCCAUCAUCCACAGCUCCCAGAACACACACGGCCCCAGACCCUCCGAGGCCUCCCCAGCGGGUCCCCUCUGAGCCACGUGGUUUGCUUUUCUAGAGUCUCUCAGUGCAUUCUCACACUUGUGAGCACCAGGGGCCACAGGAUGCAGGCACCUCCAGCCAAACACACGCGCUGAACAGCCAGAGUCACUUCCAAAGUCCUCCAAGUCCCAGCGGGACCAGCCCCUGUUAGCACAACUCCAGAGCUUACUGGGAAUGUGGGUAAACACUCUGGCAAGACACUCGCCCUGACAGCCGUGAUGAAUAGCUGGACUCGCUCUCCACCUGGCCCAGCUCGCUCCAAAUGCAAGCUCUGGAAAGAUCCUUUUCUCGUUUGCCCUUUGGUAAGUGCUGAGGCAUGAACAAAAGUCCAUUCCCAAGCUGGGUACCUAAUUUUUAUUAAUAAUAUCUCCACUCUAUCAAUCACUGCUAACUAACGGGAACACUUAAAGAAAUUAAUUUAAACCUGGCAAGAGGAAACACAGCAGUCCACUGCUUUCCCUCCUCGGUGAAUUCUGAGACUUUGGCUGCACUGAAAUGUGCGCCGUGCCAUGGGCUGGCCGGCUCAGCUUCCCCCAGUGGAGGCCAGCUUCUCUUUCUGCAACGAGGCACCCUGGACAAGGGGCAGUGUCAGCAGAGUCUCCUAAUUACUUCCCGACACCCCACCUGUUCUCAGAAGUGCUGGAGUGGCCACAGCCCACAGGGGGCCUGGGCACAGGGCUGGCCCACAGGUUGGGGGAGCUGCCCAUUCUUUGCAGGACACACCUGAUGCAGAGGUGGGGCCCCUGCUGUGUGGCUAUUCCUGCAAGUUCAGGCGUCUACAUUUUUUACCCAAAGGUAGAGACACAUGGGCCAGGAAGACACAGGCGAGAUGCAGGAGUUGAACAACCCUGAGAGGAUAUACUCUAUUCUUGCUUUGUCUUGCCCCUGGAUGCUGGUCCCUAUCUAACCUGAAACCUGGUGCUCCAAAGAUGGCUGGCUGUGGGCCCGUCUUCAGGGGCCCAUGUUUAUUUGUUCUCAGCAAAAUACAAUGUCUGGGAUAAAAGUCAAAGACAGCACUGGCGCAUCCCCACACCCAUCCCCACACCGAGACUUCUUCCCAAACCACAAAACAAGGGAGGCUGGACUUCCGAAGAGCUGCCCACGGUGCUGGAGGGGACGGUUCAGGUGCUUUGGGCCAACACAUGUUUUCAGAGUGAUGUAUUUGAAGACAGGCAGCAAGUGCUUCUGCACUUGGAUAUUUCUGCAUACAUAUUGAAUGUGGGAAGCUUAUUUGAGCAGUGUUAAAAAAAACUUUAUCUUUUAAUUUAAUGUUUAAAUUAAUUGAUUUUAUAACUCCUUUUAGAAGCUUCUUACAUUUCGGAGAGUAGUUAUUUUUUAAGUUGUGCUUUGUUUUAUUUUUGAGUGACACAUGAUAACUGUAUACAUUUGAUGCCUUGUUUUCUCCCUUUCAUGUGAAAGUCUCAGGUGUCCUUUAUGUUCAUGUGGUCUCCACAGCCUCCGUUCAGAGAGCGGAGGCAGAGGAAGUCAGUGGGGUUGGAUAAUUGCAUUCAGCAGGUGCCACAUACAGAGCAGCUCCUGUGAAUUAUUAAUGAUAAAUUAUUUGGGGAAAAAACUUCUUGGACUUUCUUUGUCGUACUUUUAACAAUUGAGCACGAUACUCGUCAGACAGCUUCUUGCGAGCUGUCAAAUUAUUUAAAUGACAGAUGAAUGUGCUGGGUAUGUAACGAAAAAAGAGUGCUCUCUGUGCUGGUUUGAUGGGCACCGUUCGGGCUUUUCAAAAUAAAGGUUCUGAGCACUUUAAUUUUGGAGUGACUUGCCGUGGUUCACCAAAG